Molecule: long non-coding RNA, 2048 nt
Organism: Vigna angularis (adzuki bean)
Lineage: Eukaryota; Viridiplantae; Streptophyta; Magnoliopsida; Fabales; Fabaceae
Exons: 5
Source: RefSeq, a predicted model, not a curated record
AUUAAUGCUGAGUAUGUAAUUUUUCAAUCAAAUAAAUGAGAGAAAAUCUAUUUGAUUAAAAAUGUAAUACAAAAUAUUAUCUGAAAAGUAUCAUUUCUAAAGUAAAGAUUAGAACAAAAUAUUUUGCAAAAGUAUUAGUAUAUCUAAAUCAUAUUAUAUCGCCAGUUAAGUUCUAUAAUAAAAGUUAUCUAAUAUUAAUAUAUAUAUAUAUCGCCAGCAUAAAAUAACUGCAAAGUACUGCUCAAAGAAAAAGGUUACUGCCUCACAUCAGAAGGUGUACAUACAGUAAUGUUGUUGAAAUGAAUGAGAAUGCAAUGGUAGAAUAAAACAGAUACAUAAAAAAUGACAACAUCACAAAGAUGCAUUAAAAUGAAACAUCACAAACAUUGUUUCAUUUUAGCUGACACUGAUAGAUAAAAAAGUGUACUGAAUUGUUUGAAAGUUACAAAAUUGUGGGACCCUUUUAUAACAACCAUAUUUGUAUCUAUUUAAAUAGAACCACUACAAAAAUAAUUAAUUUUAGGCGAGGUUGUUUUCCUGCGGUUUUUAAAACCUCAACUAAUUUCCGGCGAUUUAUAACAAAACCGUCCCUAAUAUUUAGUUAUUUAUUUAUUUUAGAAUAAUUUUUCCCUAACCCUAGUGUCCUUUCCACUCCUUCAUUCCCGCUUCUGCCUCUUGGUCUUAUUUUCUCCAAAAUCUAUUUGUUCCCCGUGCCGUUUCUUCGUCUUCAAACCAGGUGUGGAGUUGUUUCUUCAUCUUCAAACAAGGUGCGGAGCUCUUGGGCUUGAUUCCACUUUGGCAAUUAAACUUGCAAAGAAAUCUGUCGAGAAGAGAAACAAGGAAGCCCGUUGCGGAAGAAGUUGAUAGAGUCAUACCUAAUCCGCUGUGCGAUGGCCUCUGUCCGUGGGUGUGGUGGUAGGGAACUUUUUUCGCGAUAAUGGUGUUUCAGUGUCUUCACGGCGAGUUUCCGGUGACUCAGGUGCGGCGUUUUCACGACGCGAGGAUCUCGUUCUCCAGCGUUUUAGCGACAACAGAGACUUGGAUGGAAUUCACGAUUUAUUUAAGGUUUGAAUUCGAGUUCUAUUUUUAGGGAUUUGAAUGGGGUUUUCUUUCGGUGUCCCAUGAUUUUGGGUAUGGUUGUGGAGGAGAAGAAAUUCCAGGUAUGGAAGCUAUUUUAGUGGGAUUGAUUGCUUGUAUGUGGUACGAUAUGCUUUUCCCCUAUUUUAAUGUUCAUUCCAGUAUAAUUGUAUGUUUGGGGAAUUAAAAAUAGAAUACUCUUCUAAUCCUUGUAACUGAGGUCUCUCUGCAUUUCUUUGAUAUUCCUUAGGUACAUAUUGCAGUUGUUGUUAUCAAAGUUCUGAAUAUGGACUCAGGUAUAGUGAAAAAACGGAGGGGAGUGAAUAUGGGUCUGGGUAUGGUGGAAGGAAGAGUAGUGGGUAUGGGGAAGAACAGCAACAGGACAAUGGGUAUGGUUAUGGAGGGAGGAGUGAGUAUGAUGAGAAACCUAGCUAUGGGAGCCAAGGAGGUGUUGAGAAUGGUUAUGGGCAUCCACCUCAUGAAGAGGGCUACCGAAAGUCUUGCUAUGAGAAGCGUGAUGAUGAUGAUGAUGAGGGCUAUGGACACAAGAAAUAUUCAAUAUAGGUGACCUGGAUAGCCUACUAUCAGUUCAGUUCAAGUGGAUCAUAAAGAAGAACAAAGAAUGAGUAGAAGACCACCUCCUAACAGUGCUAAGAGGUCAUCGAGCUUCGGUCACAGACAUUUCUUUUCAUCCCUUUAAGCCGAUAUUAUUCUCCGGUUCUGCUGAUGGUGAAGUCUGAAUUUGGGAUACCCUUCAACAUCGAACUGUGUCAUCUGCAUGGUUACAUAGUGCUGCACAUGGUAUUGUUGCUGUUGCUUGUGCUUCUUCCCUCGGAACCAAUAAAUUUGCCAGGUAUAUGAUAAAGAAGCAUGAAGAUAAUGAAGAACAAGAGUGAUAAUUGUUAUUGCAGAACACUUUUUAAUUUGUUAUGUAGAAGUUUAUUUUUAAUUUUUAGGACAAACAUUUGUUA